Molecule: ribosomal RNA, 117 nt
Filed under: Bacillota bacterium
Lineage: Bacteria; Bacillati; Bacillota
Also listed under: 1 other name
Source: RNAcentral
UCCAGUGAUAAAGGCAAGAGGGUCACACCUGUUCCCAUCCCGAACACAGAAGUUAAGCCUCUUAGCGCCGAUGGUACUUGGGGGGCGGCCCCCCGGGAGAGUAGGUCAUCGCUGGUU